AUUUGUUAUUAUCUUAGGGAGCUACCAUUUGAUUUUUAUGGGGGGGGGCUAGGAUGAAAUUUGAAAAAAAUAGGCAGGACAGGAGUUUUGAGUAAAAAAAAAAGGCAGGAUGAGCAACUUGGUAAAAAAAAAAGGCAGGAUGACAAUUUGUAUAAAAAAAAGUCAGGAUAAACUAGUAAAAAAAAAGGCAGGACCAAAUAGAGUAAAAAAUAAAAAGGCAGGACAGGGAUUACAACUAAAAAAAAAAAAGCAGGACAAAAUUUUUCAUCCUAGCCCCCCCAUAAAAAUCAAAUGGUAGCUCCCU
RNAcentral lists this long non-coding RNA (304 nucleotides) under Mytilus galloprovincialis (Mediterranean mussel). The record is from RNAcentral. Lineage: Eukaryota; Metazoa; Mollusca; Bivalvia; Mytilida; Mytilidae.